Molecule: ribosomal RNA, 863 nt
Filed under: Antidea brucei
Lineage: Eukaryota; Fungi; Ascomycota; Lecanoromycetes; Pertusariales; Megasporaceae
Description: SSU rRNA
Rfam family: Bacterial small subunit ribosomal RNA
Source: RNAcentral
UAACGGCUGAACCAGCAACUUGGAGGAAUGUAUAGCGAAAGCUAGUUGCAUCAACUAGAUUUUAGUUGAUGUAGCAUCGACUAUGUCGAAUAAAGUUCUAGGUAGAGUUAUGAUAAUGACAUUUUCUAUCUAUGUGUCUUGACCAAAUCACGUGCCAGCAGUCGCGGUAAUACGUGGAAGACUAGUGUUAUUCAUCUUUAAUAGGUUUAAAGGGUACCUAGACGGUAAAUUUAGCCCAGAUGCAAAAAAGGGUACUGAUUAUACUAGAGUUUAAUAAGAGGGGGUGUGUAAUAGUGGAGUAGAGAUGAAAUUCUGUUAUACCAAUAUGACAGGCAACGGCGAAAGCAACCCUUUAUGUAAAAACUGACGUUGAAGGACGAAGGCUUUGUGUCACCAACAGGAUUAGAUACCCAAGCAGUCUUAGCAGACAAUUAUGAAUGCCAUAGAUAAGAAAGAAUCUUUUUUUAUUUUAGAAAAUAAAGAGAAAAAAGAUGCCAUUUUGUCUAUAAACGAAAGUGUAAGCAUUCCACCUCAAGAGUAAUGUGGCAACACAGAAACUGAAAUCAUUAGACCGUUUCUGAAACCAGUAGUGAAGUAUGUUGUUUAAUUUGAUGGUCCGCACAAAACCUUACCACAAUUUGUAUAUUAUCCCCUUAAGAUUAAUACAAGAGUUGCACGGCUGUCUUCAGUUAAUGUCGUGAGAUUUUGGUUAGUUCCAUUAAAUUAACGUAAACCCUUACUUUAUUUAUAUUAUAAAGUAGUUCACCGCUAUAUUGGAUAUGAUAAAAGGGACUAAGACAAGUCAUCAUGGCCUAAAUAUUGUGGGCUAUAGACGUGCCACAUAUGCCUAUACAAAGGGAUGC